UCUCUCUCUUCUUUUUUUAUUUUUUUUAGAGUAGUGCUAAGCAUCCUGGCCUUUCUUUCAUCGUUUGAGGUGAACAUUCAUACUUAACUUAGGUGCAGAGAACUCGAUUACUAAGCUUAAGGUAAUCCACAUAUACUCUAUAUUUUAUACUUUUAUUUCAAACAAGUAGCUCUUUCCUCAAAUUCAAGUUUCUUUAAUUGAGGUGUAUAUCAAUCAUCAAUUUUAAAUAAUAAUUAAAUCCUUAGUUGGCCUUACAAUCGACACCUACUUUGCCUUGUCAGUGUGCAUGUGUAAUUGAUAGUGCUGAUAACCUUUA
This 316-nucleotide long non-coding RNA is filed under the name Elaeis guineensis (African oil palm). RNAcentral's name for it is "long non-coding RNA (EGUI_LNC044175)". The record is from RNAcentral. Lineage: Eukaryota; Viridiplantae; Streptophyta; Magnoliopsida; Arecales; Arecaceae.